ACAUCCCGGCAGCCUCGCCAGGCCCAGAACUCUCUCCAGUCAGCCUCUACAGACCAAGCUCAUGACUCACAAUGGCCUAUUGAGGCCCAUACCCUACCUCACGGCAUUCUCCGCAGAUGAGCCUACUGCCUCACAACAGCCUCCACAGGCACAGCUCCAUCGUUACAAUGGUCUCUUUAGACCCAGCUCCUGCCUCCCAGCCUUCUCUCCAGGCCCUGAACUUUCUCCGUGGGACCAUCCAGUUUCAGGAAAACAAGCUGAACACGCCCACUGAUUCUACAUUAUGCUCCUACCUCCCGGCAGCCUCGCCAGGCCCAGAACUCUCUCCAGUCAGCCUCUACAGACCAAGCUCAUGACUCACAAUGGCCUAUUGAGGCCCAUACCCUACCUCACGGCAGUCUCCGCAGAUGAGCCUACUGCCUCACAACAGCCUCCACAGGCACAGCUCCAUCGUUACAAUGGCCUCUUUAGACCCAGCUCCUGCCGCCCAGCCUUCUCUCCAGGCCCUGAGCUUUCUCAAGUCGACCUCACCAGGCCCAGCUCAUGCUUCUUUGCAGCCUCUCCAGGCCCAGCUCCUGCAUCUUGGUGGCCCCUCCAGGCCCAGCCUCUGCCUCCCGUCGGCCUCUACAGUCGUAACAUCUACCUCACAGCAGAUUCUUCAGGCCCAGCAUCUGCCUCACUGUGGAUCCCCCAAGCCAAGCUCCCAACCUUUCAGCAGCUUCUACACACCCAGCUCCCGCCUGCCAGUGGCCUCUUCAGGCCCAUGGGGCUCAUUCCUCACAACAGCCUUUCCAGGCCCAGUUUUUCCCUUCCGGCGGCCUCUCUGGGCUGAGAACCUCCUCAGGUCGGCCUCUCCAGACCCACUUGCACCCUCCGGGCAUCCUCUGCGGGCCAAGCUCCUCUUCCUGUCUGCGUCUCCAGGCCCGACUCCUGCCUCUCAACAAGCUCUUUGGACUCAGUGCCUACCCAUCUCCUGGCAUCCUUGGUCAGCCCACAGCUUCCUCAAGCCAAGCUCCCCAGGCCCAGGUCAGGACUCACGGUGGCCUCUCCAGGAUGAGCUCCUGCACUCCGAUGGCACCUGCAGGCCCCAAAUGGUCUCCGGUCGGUGGGCUUCUCCACGCCAAACUUGGGCCUCCCAGCGACCUCUGCAGGCCCAAGUUGUCCUGAAGUCGGCAUCUCCCGGCCGUGCCUCCCAGCAAGUAAGCAAGCUCUUUUGGCUCAACUCCUGCCCAGCUCCCAACCGCCUUUGUAGGUCCCGAACUUUCUCCAGCCAAGUUCUUCGGGCCUAAUUCCUGCCGCCCGGUGGCCUGUACGGGCCCAGCAAUGGUUGGAGAGUGGCCUCUGCAGGUCCCGCUCUUGCCUCCCAGGGGCCUCUCCAGGCCCAG
Gorilla gorilla gorilla (western lowland gorilla) is the source of this 1385-nucleotide long non-coding RNA. RefSeq lists it as uncharacterized. NCBI's taxonomy places the organism in Eukaryota, Metazoa, Chordata, Mammalia, Primates, Hominidae. The record is from RefSeq and is a predicted model, not a curated record. The transcript is spliced from 3 exons.